RNAcentral lists this ribosomal RNA (18 nucleotides) under Eimeria dispersa. Its description in RNAcentral is "partial 5.8S ribosomal RNA". The record is from RNAcentral. Lineage: Eukaryota; Apicomplexa; Conoidasida; Eucoccidiorida; Eimeriidae.
AAACUUUCAGCAUGGAAA